This is a long non-coding RNA of Capsicum annuum, 213 nucleotides long. RefSeq lists it as uncharacterized. The record is from RefSeq and is a predicted model, not a curated record. NCBI's taxonomy places the organism in Eukaryota, Viridiplantae, Streptophyta, Magnoliopsida, Solanales, Solanaceae. The transcript is spliced from 2 exons.
UAGUGCUCAUAUUGUCAAAUAAACAAGUAUAAAAAGGCAGCCUAAAUCAAGAAUUCAUAAAAGGAAAAAAAAAUAUCAUAGCUUUCAUAGUAAAUUACUAUAUACAAAUGGCAAAAUUUCUUGGUUUAUUUUUUAUCCUCUUUGUUGCUAUUGCAUCAGAUAUGGGAAUUGUUCCAAAAGUAUAUGGAAAACUAUGCAUUGGUGAAGUUGGAU